UUUGCCCAAGGGAGCAGGUGUUCCGGCCCCAGCUGUGUACCUCUCAUUGAAGAAGACACCGAGCCGGAAGAUUUCGGAUCAGCCAGUCCACAGAAUACAGUGGUUCAUCCAGGUGCCCGUGCACUUCAUGGGCUGGGAGGACCAAGUUCACAAACAGGUGCAGUGCCCUGGAGCAGUGUUGCCACGCCUCGUUUGCAAAGUGGGAGAUUUGGAUCCAUUCUGGGAUUGGAGGAUGCUGCCCUGUGGAGUGUGGGCAUUUCUGCCGGUCAGCAGAGAAGGGGGAGGCCAGUGUGACCCAUCCCAGCGGAGUUUGAAUGGUCCUAUGGAAAACUCCAGUGUGUGGCUCACUGCUGAAUCAGUCCUGGGCCUCCAGGGCCUGUUGCCGGUGCCAGUCGCCUGUGCCUGCUGAGCGCCGAACAUGUUGAGCUUUUAUUAUUACAGAGGACGGCACUCACUCCCCGUCAUCACGGGGCGAAGCCUGGUUCUGCUGCACAGGGGCCUGCUUUCAGAUGGAGACCCUAGG
Ochotona princeps (American pika) is the source of this 523-nucleotide long non-coding RNA. RefSeq lists it as uncharacterized. Lineage: Eukaryota; Metazoa; Chordata; Mammalia; Lagomorpha; Ochotonidae. The record is from RefSeq and is a predicted model, not a curated record. The transcript is spliced from 2 exons.